Molecule: long non-coding RNA, 835 nt
Organism: Mytilus californianus (California mussel)
Lineage: Eukaryota; Metazoa; Mollusca; Bivalvia; Mytilida; Mytilidae
Exons: 3
Source: RefSeq, a predicted model, not a curated record
UAAAUUGACUCGUACCCAUGUAUGUGGUACCAGUGCCUUCUGGAAAAUACAUAUACAAAAGCAACUACUUUGUAUGAACAGGAUUUAACGCCAGUGAUCAAAGAAUGGAACUGUCAACAAAUACAGCGUUUUUCAUCUUGAUUGGGAUGAUGCUUAUAACCAGAUGUUAUGGUUGUUCUUGCAACGUUGCAUUUUCAUCGUACAUGACCGAAGCCAGUGCAAAUUCGCAAAGUGCAUCUAUGACAGACGGAGCCAUAAUCAAAUUCAAUAGAAUCGAGGCAAAUUACGGACUGGGAUAUAGUACAAAUACAGGAAAGUUUACAGCACCUUCCUCAGGUGUUUACGGGCUUACAUGGACCUUUUGCGUCGAUUCGCGUACUACUGACGGCGGUGCUUUGAAAUACGGAGAAUACGGUACAGAACUAAUGAGGGGCAAUUCCGUAAUUGGCGUAUUGCAUACAGACACGGAAACGAAAAACGAUGACGCAUGCUCAACAGGUUUUGUCAUCAAGUACGUAUCUGAAGGUACGGAAGUUUACGUCAGGAAUAAUUAUGCUCACCAAGGAAAAAUCUUGAGCAAGGAGAGUCAGACCAGAACAACAUUCUCCGGAUGGAAAUUAUAUCAAUAAUAUUUGAAUUUGAUAGUUUUAUUCACCUCCUCGACUUUUUGUUUAAAUUAAGUGAUUUUAGACAGACGUGUUUUCUUCAAUAUUCCAUGUCUUGCAUUUUUAAAGAACAUUUUAGUUCUUUGCAUAUUUUAAAUUUAAUGUCUUUUUUCAUAUGGUAUCUGCUACAGUCCGGAUAAGAAUCAUUAAUAAAGUUUUGUACUUCGAAA